ACGGCUCAGUAACACGUGGAUAACCUGCCCUUGGGUCCGGCAUAACUCCGGGAAACUGGAGAUAAUUCCGGAUAACGCACAUAUGCUGGAAUGCUUUAUGCGUAAAAUGGAUUCGUCUGCCCAAGGAUGGGUCUGCGGCCUAUCAGGUAGUAGUGGGUGUAAUGUACCUACUAGCCAACAACGGGUACGGGUUGUGAGAGCAAGAGCCCGGAGAUGGAUUCUGAGACAUGAAUCCAGGCCCUACGGGGCGCAGCAGGCGCGAAAACUUUACAAUGCGGGAAACCGUGAUAAGGGGACACCGAGUGCUAGCAUCAUAUGCUAGCUGUCCAGGUGUGUAAAAUACACCUGUUAGCAAGGGCCGGGCAAGACCGGUGCCAGCCGCCGCGGUAACACCGGCGGCCCGAGUGGUGAUCGUGAUUAUUGGGUCUAAAGGGUCCGUAGCCGGUUUGGUCAGUCCUCCGGGAAAUCUGAUAGCUCAACUAUUAGGCUUUCGGGGGAUACUGCCAGACUUGGAACCGGGAGAGGUAAGAGGUACUACAGGGGUAGGAGUGAAAUCUUGUAAUCCCUGUGGGACCACCUGUGGCGAAGGCGUCUUACCAGAACGGGUUCGACGGUGAGGGACGAAAGCUGGGGGCACGAACCGGAUUAGAUACCCGGGUAGUCCCAACCGUAAACGAUGCUCGCUAGGUGUCAGGCAUGGCGCGACCGUGUCUGGUGCCGCAGGGAAGCCGUGAAGCGAGCCACCUGGGAAGUACGGCCGCAAGGCUGAAACUUAAAGGAAUUGGCGGGGGAGCAC
Molecule: ribosomal RNA, 796 nt
Filed under: uncultured archaeon
Lineage: Archaea
Description: bacterial SSU rRNA
Rfam family: Archaeal small subunit ribosomal RNA
Source: RNAcentral